Molecule: ribosomal RNA, 438 nt
Filed under: Rhipicephalus turanicus
Lineage: Eukaryota; Metazoa; Arthropoda; Arachnida; Ixodida; Ixodidae
Description: partial 16S ribosomal RNA
Rfam family: Bacterial large subunit ribosomal RNA (bases 146-438)
Source: RNAcentral
UUAAAUUGCUGUGGUAUUUUGACUAUACCAUGUUUUUGAAAUAAGAUUUUAUUGAUGCUAAGAGAAUGGACUCUCAGAGAAAAACUUUUUUUAAAUUAAAAAUUGAAAUUUUUUUAAUUUGUGCAGAAACAAUUAUUAAUAUUAAGGACAAGAAGACCCUAUGAAUUUAUUAAAUUUCAUUCAAUAUGUAAUUACUAUUGAAGAAAUUUUGGCUGGGGCGGCUAAAAAAUAUUUUAAACUUUUUAAAAAUAAAAUGAUCCAUUAUUAAUGAUUAUAUGUUAAAUACUCUAGGGAUAACAGCGUUAUAUUUUUUGAUAGACCAUAUUGACAAAAAAGUUUGCGACCUCGAUGUUGGAUUAGGAUACUUUUUUAAUGCAGAUAUUAAAAAAAGAAGUUUGUUCAACUUUCAAUUUCCUACAUGAUCUGAGUUCAGACCGG